AGGAGUUCAUUUUUUCGUUUUUUUAUGAGAUAGAGUUUGGGUAUAAGAUGCAUUCUGGCGCUAGCUGCCAAAAGUUGUGAGUGAGUGUACACAUUUUUUCUUUUUCACUUUUCUUUCCUUUUUUAAAAUCAUUUUUAUUUCUUGAAUUUUUAUUGAAAGAGAGAUAUGGAUAUGGAUAGUGAUCCAAGUGAAAUGUAUGUAUUGAUUGGUAACCCUUAAUCAUUUUGAUCCAAUGGCCAAUGAGAAAGCACAAAAUAGUAAGCAAAUUAGGAUUUCACAAUUAAAAUGCAAAUGCAAAAAAAAACCUUGGAUAGUUUUUGAUUAAAAAUGAAUUUAAAUGAAUUAAAUCAAAUCUUUUUUUUUUUAAAACAAAU
RNAcentral lists this long non-coding RNA (374 nucleotides) under Lathyrus oleraceus (garden pea). Its description in RNAcentral is "Pisum sativum (pea) long non-coding RNA (PSAT_LNC014926)". Lineage: Eukaryota; Viridiplantae; Streptophyta; Magnoliopsida; Fabales; Fabaceae. The record is from RNAcentral.